AAAAUCAUAGCUACAUGGAUCCAAAUCUGUCCAAAUCACAGUCAUAUUAAAAUACGCGGCUCUUGUAAGGAUGAUUUGAGUAAUUUAUACAAAAAAAUAAAGGAUCCUUUCAGUAGUGUGAUUUUGGCAGGUUAAGGCUUGGUAAAUUUGUUGAUUUUACGGUUUGUACCUGAAGAAAAGUUUACGCAUUUGUAGUAUGAAUGGUGUUUGAACUGGAUGUAAUUUGAG
This 228-nucleotide unclassified non-coding RNA is filed under the name Hevea brasiliensis (rubber tree). Lineage: Eukaryota; Viridiplantae; Streptophyta; Magnoliopsida; Malpighiales; Euphorbiaceae. The record is from RNAcentral.